AUCCGGAAAUAGCUGGUUCUCUCCGAAAGCUAUUUAGGUAGUGCCUCGUAUAUCACUCCUGGGGGUAGAGCACUGUUAUGGCUAGGGGGCCGUUUAGGUCUACCAAACCAUUGCAAACUCCGAAUACCGGGAAGUGUGAGUACGGGAGACAGACAUCGGGUGCUAACGUCCGGUGUCGAGAGGGAAACAACCCAGACCCUCAGCUAAGGCCCCCCAGACGUGGUUAAGUGGGAAACGAAGUGGGAAGGCUUAGACAGCCAGGAGGUUGGCUUAGAAGCAGCCACCCUUUAAAGAAAGCGNNNNNNNNNNCGUAGUUGGUAUGGUUUUUAAUGCAUGUUGUUGGGCUAUUACGACGCCCCCAUUUAAGCAACCGGUAUUCGCUCCAGGGUGUCUCGUCCUGCGCGGAAAAUGUAACGGGGCUCAAACCACGCGCCGAAGCUAGGGGUGUGUGCAAUCCACUUGAGUAUGUUCAAGCGAUGCGAAGAGCGUACUGAAGGGAUUGCGCACGCGGUAGGAGAGCGUUCCGUAGGCCUGUGAAGGUGGCUCGUGAGGGCUCACUGGAGGUAUC
This 568-nucleotide ribosomal RNA is filed under the name Anaerolineae bacterium. Its description in RNAcentral is "partial 23S ribosomal RNA". It matches the Rfam family "Bacterial large subunit ribosomal RNA", at positions 837 to 1283 of the family's 2925-position model. Lineage: Bacteria; Bacillati; Chloroflexota; Anaerolineae. The record is from RNAcentral.